RNAcentral lists this ribosomal RNA (465 nucleotides) under uncultured bacterium. RNAcentral describes it as "bacterial SSU rRNA". It matches the Rfam family "Bacterial small subunit ribosomal RNA", at positions 28 to 507 of the family's 1533-position model. The record is from RNAcentral.
GACGAACGCUGGCGGCGUGCUUAACACAUGCAAGUCGAGCGGUAAGGCUCCUUCGGGAGUACACGAGCGGCGAACGGGUGAGUAACACGUGAGUAACCUGCCCCAAUCAUCGGGAUAACCAUUGGAAACGAUGGCUAAUACCGAAUACGACCACCGAAGGCAUCUUCUGGUGGUGGAAAGCUCCGGCGGAUUGGGAUGGACUCGCGGCCUAUCAGCUUGUUGGUGAGGUAAUGGCUCACCAAGGCAACGACGGGUAGCCGGCCUGAGAGGGUGACCGGCCACACUGGGACUGAGACACGGCCCAGACUCCUACGGGAGGCAGCAGUGGGGAAUAUUGGACAAUGGGCGCAAGCCUGAUCCAGCAACGCCGCGUGAGGGAUGACGGCCCUCGGGUUGUAAACCUCUUUCAGUAGGGACGAAGCGAAAGUGACGGUACCUACAGAAGAAGGACCGGCCAACUACGUG